RNAcentral lists this long non-coding RNA (558 nucleotides) under Bos taurus (domestic cattle). Its description in RNAcentral is "long non-coding RNA NONBTAT009767". Lineage: Eukaryota; Metazoa; Chordata; Mammalia; Artiodactyla; Bovidae. The record is from RNAcentral.
GAAAUUUCCUAUGCAUGUCCAGGUAAUCUGGCUAGUCAAAGUCAGCAGCUUCCUGUAACUCUCUUGCUCAGGUAUCGGUAUAUACUACCUGAUGCAAUAUGGGUGCUCACCAAGUAACUGCAGCUAUAGAUCUGUGGGCAGACCCAUUAUCUAUCUCUUCAUAUGGAAAUUUAGAAAGAAAAAGUGGAAGGAUCCCAGCAGGGGGUCCUUAGGGAUGUGGGUCACAAACACUCACCAAAUGAAUUAUCUCAAAAAGCACUUUGGUUAGGCUUCCUCCGAACAGAGGAAGCCAGAACAUAAGUGAAAUACUCUUGUUUAUGCUUCACAAAGGAUAAAGUAAUGAUGGACUGAGACAGUAGCCCCAUUUUAAAGAACUGGGAAAAGACGAUGUAGGACGUUUUAAAGAGGUGGCUUGGAGCUCCUGUAAUAAGUUAAAGAAGGGUUGAGAUUGGGGCUCAGGAUUUUUGAGUAGGGCUUUAGGAUGAAAGAGAAAGGGCUCCAGUUUUACUGUGUUGGGAGACGGGAAGUUGAAAGAGGGCAUUCUGCUGUGAUUCCACA